RNAcentral lists this ribosomal RNA (578 nucleotides) under Streptomyces sp. ULK10. Its description in RNAcentral is "bacterial SSU rRNA". It matches the Rfam family "Bacterial small subunit ribosomal RNA", at positions 279 to 867 of the family's 1533-position model. Lineage: Bacteria; Bacillati; Actinomycetota; Actinomycetes; Kitasatosporales; Streptomycetaceae. The record is from RNAcentral.
ACGGGUAGCCGGCCUGAGAGGGCGACCGGCCACACUGGGACUGAGACACGGCCCAGACUCCUACGGGAGGCAGCAGUGGGGAAUAUUGCACAAUGGGCGAAAGCCUGAUGCAGCGACGCCGCGUGAGGGAUGACGGCCUUCGGGUUGUAAACCUCUUUCAGCAGGGAAGAAGCGAAAGUGACGGUACCUGCAGAAGAAGCGCCGGCUAACUACGUGCCAGCAGCCGCGGUAAUACGUAGGGCGCGAGCGUUGUCCGGAAUUAUUGGGCGUAAAGAGCUCGUAGGCGGCUUGUCACGUCGGUUGUGAAAGCCCGGGGCUUAACCCCGGGUCUGCAGUCGAUACGGGCAGGCUAGAGUUCGGUAGGGGAGAUCGGAAUUCCUGGUGUAGCGGUGAAAUGCGCAGAUAUCAGGAGGAACACCGGUGGCGAAGGCGGAUCUCUGGGCCGAAACUGACGCUGAGGAGCGAAAGCGUGGGGAGCGAACAGGAUUAGAUACCCUGGUAGUCCACGCCGUAAACGGUGGGCACUAGGUGUGGGCGACAUUCCACGUCGUCCGUGCCGCAGCUAACGCAUUAAGUGC